UCGAGCCCCGGCGGGCGCCCUGCCUGGGCCUCUCUGUCUCUCUCUCUCUCUCUCCCCCUCUGUGGCUCCCGUGAAUAAAUCCAAUAAAAUCCUAAAAAAAGAAAAAAAAAUUUAAACCGAUUAUGUGAGCCUUAAUGAAAAUAGUGUGCAAGCAGGCGGUAGGAGUAGGUGGAAAGGGAAAUGGGAACUUGAAAGGUCGCGUGGAGACGGUCUGGAAUAGUGGCGGCUUUCUGUUGUUGUUGUUGUUGUUGUUGUUGUUGUUUAGGGCCUGCUCCUCCGGCUGUGGGAGUAUAUGCAUUCGUGUUCACUUGUGGAUUCCGUGAUUCAGGCAGAUGGUACAACCGGUUAUGUGUGGCUUUCCAGGGAGGGGCGAAAGAUUUGUUCGUUUAAAGAGAGCAAGAGAGAGCAGGAGCUGGACGGAGAGGCGGAGGGAGAGGGAGAAGGUGACUCCGCAGUGAGCAGGGGUCUGAGGCUGGGCUGGGUCCCAGGACCACACCUCACCCCACCCCACCCCCCAGGGUCACAGCCUGGGCCUGAGGAGAGACGCAGAGAGAGAGAGAGGCAGAGACACAGGCAGAGGGAGAAGCAGGCUCCAUGCAAGGAGCCCCAUGUGGGACUCCAUCCGGGACUCCAGGAUCACGCCCUGAGCCGAAGGCAGGUGCUAAACCCAGGGAUCCCCUCUGCAUGCAGCUUUUAAGAGAAAAGCUAGGGAUCCCUGGGUGGCGCAGUGGUUUAGAAUUGGCGUGAGAGUGUACUUACUAGGCUCUUACCAACUUUCCAGAAUUGGGUCUGUAAACCUGAGAUCGGCAAACCUAGUCGGCCUAAGCAAUGCCCUUGAGUUUUUGUGCCACAAAGGAACAGAAUGAGAGGAGAGCAGAAGGGAGACUUCGUAGUGCAAGGGGAAUAGGAAUGGAAAAGGAGAGAAGAAAUGGAACUCAUAGAAGGAUACUUGUAGUGUUUAUUAUAAGAUUUCCUUGGAAAAAUCAGCAUAUCAAAGAUGUCGAAUGAGGCAAAAGUAUUAGUUAUGUGUAUAUUUAAUUUUGUAAGGACUUAAAGGUCAGGUGAUCAUAGAUCUGCUGGUGUCCACACAAUUUGCCCUUUUGCUGUUGGAUAUUGGAGAGGUGACGUAUGAGUACGGGACAGGCUCCUUACAGAAGAGAGGGCAUAUUGUUCAUUCAUUUUGUUAUCCCACAAAAAUAAUUUAAAAAGGCCAAUCAUUUUGUAAGCCUUAUUCCUUAUUUUCUAGUUUAACUCUUUGUUCUUUUCCCUAAACAGAAUAUUGUGGAGAACAGGCAAAUUUAGUUUUCCAAAAUAGCCAUUGAAGUUCUUAUCACUUUUUUUUUUUUUUUUGGUACUUGUUUGAAUGUUGAAGUCGUGGUAAAUAUGGAAAAGAUCAGGACCUCAGCUUCAGCUGAGUUUCCAUUGCUUUUCCAUUUCUAUAUCUGACGUCUCCAGGGGCACGACAUGCACAGAACAAAUCCAGGCAAAGCAAAUUUGGGCAUAUUGCCUUUGGCUCUGACUUCCGUGAACUGACCUGAUGAGUGGUCUUGAGAGCUUAUUUUCCCUAGACUAGAAACAGGCCUAAGGAACCCUGAGCCCUGCUCUAGUUGAUCUUCAGAUGGGACGAGGUAAAGGCAGCCCCAGGUUCUUUUUACUACAUAAGCCUCUUAGAGUGAAAGAGGGAGAACAGAACUAAGAAAAUCCAAAAUAACAGCAGUUCCAGGGCAAGUAGUUUCACUUUGCUGUCUAGUACACAAAGCUCCACACUGCAUUACUGGACUUUGGCUCAAAACCAGCGUCCUCCUUUGGAGGGUGAAGGUGAGGCAAAAAUAGGUCAGAUCUCGGGUUCUCGUAAGUUUGCCACUGACAGUCACUCAUAUUAACCUCAGUAUCAUAGGGUAAAUUGCCUCUCAUCCUGAGAAAGUUAGCGAACGUGAUAGGCUAGACCUGACCUACGGUUGCUCUUGUGAGAGAAGUCUUGUUAACUAGUUAAAGGACAAAGAACAUUACUGAUCAGAUCCUUGUAAAAUAUAUAUUGCCAGCUAUACGUAUUGUAGAUAGAGUGAUGUCUUAUUAUUUGUCACUUCAUUUCUUAAAAAGUAUUAAUAUUUUUAUUAGUGAAACAAUAGAGAUUAUGUUGUAUGCAAAGCCACUUUGUAAACGUGAAAAGGAAAUCGUACCCCUGCACGGCUGUAGCUAUAUAUCCUGGGCUUGCAUUUCCUAGAAACCCAACAGUGAGAUAAACUUUUUCUAUUUUGCAAAUAGAUAUUUUAUAUUUAGUUUAAAAAUUAAUGGGUAGGUACUGUAAUCCCUAGACAGUAAUAACCACACUGGAGGUCAUUUAGUUCCACAAAUAUUAAAUGUGAAACUGUAUGCUAAAGGCUGUGAAUAAGACGCAGUCCUGCCCAUAAGAGUUUUUUAACUUACUGGAGGCAGGAGCUUCAUUUCUAAUUCUCUGUUGUCUAGUUUCUGAUUGUACACUGGUUUUUAAGAAAUAGCCCUACCUCUAAUAAGGACUCUUUAGUAGUUGUCAGACCUGCCGGACUUCAGAUGCCUAUGUAGCCACUACACUAUUUCUUUGUUUAAUAAUCUUCUACGUAAAGAAAUAGAGUGUUUAUGAAACUAAUUUUGAAAUUGACCAUAUGGAAAAUUGGGAGAGAUUAAUGGUAAAGGCAGAGACAACACCGCUUAACCACCAGGAAUGUUUAAAGUUGGCCUCGGUUGUUGGUGCUCAUCGAUGCUCCUGAGCGCCUGGGCGUCUGUCUUAUUGAUAGAGGCAAGUCUGGCAGAUUGUACCAUUUCAUUUCAGAAAUGAAAGAUUUUUUUUUCCAAAAAAACCACAACAGACUUUUCCCCCCAAAGAUUUUAUUUAUUCAUGAGAGACACAGGGAGGGAGAGGCAGAGACACAGGCAGAGGGAGAAGCAGGUGCUCUGUGGGGAGCCUGAUGCAGGACUCGAUCCCAGGGCCCCUGGGUCACGAUCUGAGCUGAAGGCAAACGCUCAACCCCUGAGCCACACGGGCAUCCCAAGAGACUGUGUUUUGAUAAACUAAGCUCCUAAAACAUGGAAGAAAUGUCAGUUUGUUAGCCUUGAUAUUUACUAGUUAGUGCCCUUCCAGUAGGGAGGAAAGGAUAAAUUGUGGAGUAAAGAGUAAGACCAUAAGGAACUUUACAGUAACAGUAAAGUUAUGGCGGUUGAGAGCCGCAGCACUUAGGAUAGCAAGUUAGGACACCUUUUUUAUUGGAAAAAUGGCAUCAAGGUCAUAUUCUUGGGUGGUGUUUUCAAAGACAACAAGCACCUCACUAUCAUUCUUUUUGUUAAACUCUCUACCAUGUAUCACAGCACAUUAGGUCAUAUUGUAUCUAAUAUGAAUUACAUUUUAGUCUUUUAGAGGAGAUUUAAGGAACAUUUUGGUCUCCUUGAUACUGGUAUUCAAAGUUAUCUUAUUGAAGAAAUUUUGAAACACUGUUCAAAACCAAGUUUCUAAAGUAUAUCUGUGUAGGGGAUUGCUUUGCACUGUGUAAUAUUUUUAGAUACUUACACAGUUGCAAGUGUUCUGCUGAGACACUUUAACAGUGUCUUUGAAGUGUCCUUUGAAGGUGAAACAAUUUAAAGUGGAAGAGAGAUCAUAUUGUAAUCUUUUUUAGAUGACUUGUUCUCCAUCUGCUUUUGAGGCCAUUUUAUAACUCACAUAGUAGAGAUAUUUCUAAAGGUAUAAAACAAGCUUGUGGCAUUCCGUUUGCCAACCUGAUGAUUUAUUUUCAUUAAGCAUUCAAGUACCUGUUUGUGUUGAGCACUAAUACUAGGCACUAGUGACAGAGGGGUAUGGGCCUUAGAGACCUACUCUCAGGAAGCUUCCGUCUGGUGAGAGAGGCAAAUGAAAAAUAACAUUAAAAUGAUGUGUAAAGUAUGUUGAAAUGUAAUCAUAUGCUAUCUUGGGAUGGGAUAAGUAAAAGGAAUAAUUAUCUCUGCUUAGGAAAUCACUUAAGGAGGAAAUUUAGGAAUUUAGUUUUUAAAGAUGAUUAGGUACUUACCAGGUCAGUGAAGAAGGAAAGACAUUAUAUUGGGGAUGUCGUAAUGUAAAAUAGCAAGGUAAAUUUGUGGAGUUCUAGUUGUUCGGUGUCGAUGUAGACUGGGUAGAGAUGUUAUGAGAGACUCAAGAUAUUAAUAAGGGCCCAAUGAAAAUGAACAUUGGACUUGAUCUUUUUAUUAGUAGAAGCUAUUGAAAAACAAAACAAAACAAAAACCUUGCUACACCUGGGUGGCUCAGCAGUUGAGCGUCUGCCUUUGGCUCAGGCCAUGAUCUUGGAGUCCCGGGAUCAAGUCCCACAUCAGGCUUCCCACAGGGAGCCUGCUUCUCCCUCUACCUGUGUCUCUGCCUCUCUCUCUCUCUCUCUUUCUCUCUGUGUCUCUCAUGAAUAAAUAAAAUAUUUAGUGUAUUCAUAAAAUAAAAUACAGCAGUGGGAGGAAUGGGCCAUUUAGACACUAAUGUGAUGUCACAAAAGGUUGAAACCAGGGACAGAAGAAUCUAUACUAUUUGUAUAAAAUUAAAAAACAAAACAAAACAAAAAACUAAUCUAGGGUAUUAGAAGUCAGAAUAAUUAUUAUUUUUUUGAAGAUUUAUUUAUUUAUCAGAGACACACACAGAGGCAGAGACAUAGGCAGAGGGAGAAGCAGGCUUCUUUGGGGAGCCUGAUGUGGGACUCCAUCCCGGGACUCUAGGAUUGCACCAGCAGCCAGAGGCAGCCACUCAAUUGCUGAGCUACCCAGGCGUCCCAGUCAGGGUAAUUAUCAUUCUUAUUUGGAGUUGUGAUUGAGAGGACACAAUAAAC
Nyctereutes procyonoides (raccoon dog) is the source of this 4832-nucleotide long non-coding RNA. RefSeq lists it as uncharacterized. NCBI's taxonomy places the organism in Eukaryota, Metazoa, Chordata, Mammalia, Carnivora, Canidae. The transcript has 3 exons. The record is from RefSeq and is a predicted model, not a curated record.